UGCAGUCGAACGAGAUCUUCGGAUCUAGUGGCGCACGGGUGAGUAACGCGUGGGAACCUACCUUUUAGUACGGGACAACGUUUGGAAACGAACGCUAAUACCGUAUACGCCCUCCGGGGGAAAGGUCAGCCGCUAAAAGAGGGGCCCGCGUCUGAUUAGCUUGUUGGUAAGGUAAUGGCUUACCAAGGCUACGAUCAGUAGCUGGUCUGAGAGGAUGAUCAGCCACACUGGGACUGAGACACGGCCCAGACUCCUACGGGAGGCAGCAGUGGGGAAUAUUGGACAAUGGAGGCAACUCUGAUCCAGCAAUGCCGCGUGUGUGAUGAAGGCCCUAGGGUUGUAAAGCACUUUCAACGGUGAAGAUGAUGACGGUAGCCGUAGAAGAAGCCCCGGCUAACUUCGUGCCAGCAGCCGCGGUAAUACGAAGGGGGCGAGCGUUAUUCGGAAUUAUUGGGCGUAAAGGGCUCGCAGGCUGCUUGAACAGUUAGACGUGAAAUCCCCGGGCUCAACCUGGGAACUGCGUUUAAUACUAGCAAGCUAGAGAAAUAGAGAGGAAAGUGGAACUCCCAGUGUAGAGGUGAAAUUCGUAGAUAUUGGGAAGAACACCAGUGGCGAAAGCGACUUUCUGGCUAUUUUCUGACGCUGA
RNAcentral lists this ribosomal RNA (646 nucleotides) under uncultured bacterium. RNAcentral's name for it is "bacterial SSU rRNA". It matches the Rfam family "Bacterial small subunit ribosomal RNA", at positions 56 to 749 of the family's 1533-position model. The record is from RNAcentral.